GACGAACGCUGGCGGCGUGCUUAACACAUGCAAGUCGAACGGAAAGGCCCCUUCGGGGGUACUCGAGUGGCGAACGGGUGAGUAACACGUGAGUAACCUGCCCUUGACUUCGGGAUAACCUCAGGAAACUGGGGCUAAUACCGGAUAGGAAUCCUUGCUGCAUGGUGGGGGUUGGAAAGCUUCGGCGGUUUUGGAUGGACUCGCGGCUUAUCAGCUUGUUGGUGGGGUAGUGGCUUACCAAGGCCUUGACGGGUAGCCGGCCUGAGAGGGCGACCGGCCACAUUGGGACUGAGAUACGGCCCAGACUCCUACGGGAGGCAGCAGUGGGGAAUAUUGCACAAUGGGCGGAAGCCUGAUGCAGCAACGCCGCGUGCGGGAGGACGGCCUUCGGGUUGUAAACCGCUUUCAGCAGGGGCGAAGCUUGUGGUGACGGUACCUGCAGAAGAAGCACCGGCUAACUACGUG
Molecule: ribosomal RNA, 465 nt
Filed under: uncultured bacterium
Lineage: Bacteria
Description: partial 16S ribosomal RNA
Rfam family: Bacterial small subunit ribosomal RNA
Source: RNAcentral